Molecule: microRNA, 23 nt
Filed under: Heliconius melpomene (postman butterfly)
Lineage: Eukaryota; Metazoa; Arthropoda; Insecta; Lepidoptera; Nymphalidae
Description: Hme-Mir-281_3p* (star (passenger))
Source: RNAcentral
CUGUCAUGGAGUUGCUCUCUUUA